This 85-nucleotide transfer RNA is filed under the name Felis catus (domestic cat). It matches the Rfam family "tRNA". Rfam says of the family: Transfer RNA (tRNA) molecules are approximately 80 nucleotides in length. Their secondary structure includes four short double-helical elements and three loops (D, anti-codon, and T loops). Lineage: Eukaryota; Metazoa; Chordata; Mammalia; Carnivora; Felidae. The record is from Rfam by way of RNAcentral.
GCCUGGGUGGCUCAGUCGGUUGAGUGUCCGACUUCAGCUCAGGUCAUGAUCUCGCGGUCCGUGAGUUCAAGCCCCACAUCAGGCU